AUUCGAUUGGUACCAAGGAAGGGUACAGUAAUACAAUCGAUUUUCGAGUGUUGAGUACAACGUAUGAAUGCAACAACACCUUAAAGAUACGGUCCCAAUGAACGUCCACUUUGAUAAGCUGAAAAAAAAUUCUACUGGCCGCUUUGUUUUUAACAGCACCGCCUUCGCCGCUUUUUCUCAUGACGGCUCAACUCAGACGAACGUAAAUAUCAACAAGACAACUUCGUUUCGAUUUCAGUGGCAGCUUACUGAAAAAGUUAUACAAUUUACUAGCUCCAACAAUGAUGCUGGAACUGGUGACGAGUGAUAACAAUUUCGAGAUCAAUGAGUCGGAGGAUCCGGCGAACGACCUGCGGG
Molecule: long non-coding RNA, 357 nt
Organism: Uranotaenia lowii
Lineage: Eukaryota; Metazoa; Arthropoda; Insecta; Diptera; Culicidae
Exons: 3
Source: RefSeq, a predicted model, not a curated record